GGGGGGGGGGGGGGGGGGGGGGGGGGGGGGGGGGGGGGGGGGGGGGGGGCGGGGGGGGGGGGGUGCGCGGGGGGGGGACGGGUGAGUGAGGCGGGAGGAGCCGGCUCGAGGCUUUGGGAGCACUUCCGGGCGGUGGGGCUGAGACAGGAUGGUAGCACCGGGUGGAGGGGGGGGGUUGGAAAGUUUCGGCGGGUGGUGAUGGACUCGCGGCUGAUCAGCUUGUGGGUGGGGGAGUGGGUGACCAAGGCUUUGACGGGUAGCCGGCCUGGGAGGGUGACCGGCCACAUUGGGACUGAGAUACGGACAAGACUCCUACGGGAGGCAGCAGUGGGGAAUCUUGCACAAUGGGCGGAAGCCUGAUGCAGCAACGCCGCGUGCGGGAUGACGGCCUUCGGGUUGUAAACCGCUUUCGCCUGUGACGAAGCGUGAGUGACGGUAAUGGGUAAAGAAGCACCGGCUAACUACGUG
RNAcentral lists this ribosomal RNA (468 nucleotides) under uncultured bacterium. RNAcentral describes it as "partial 16S ribosomal RNA". The stretch from base 58 to 468 matches the Rfam family "Bacterial small subunit ribosomal RNA", at positions 39 to 507 of the family's 1533-position model. The record is from RNAcentral.